RNAcentral lists this RNase P RNA (353 nucleotides) under Thiothrix sp. Its description in RNAcentral is "RNase P RNA component class A". It matches the Rfam family "Bacterial RNase P class A". From Rfam's summary of the family: Ribonuclease P (RNase P) is a ubiquitous endoribonuclease, found in archaea, bacteria and eukarya as well as chloroplasts and mitochondria. Its best characterised activity is the generation of mature 5'-ends of tRNAs by cleaving the 5'-leader elements of precursor-tRNAs. Lineage: Bacteria; Pseudomonadati; Pseudomonadota; Gammaproteobacteria; Thiotrichales; Thiotrichaceae. The record is from RNAcentral. RNAcentral also lists the same sequence under 1 other name.
CCAGCCAAUCGGGCAACCGCUGCCGGCAAUGGACCCGUUCCGUUGCAGGGGGAGGAAAGUCCGGGCUCCACAGGGCAAGACGCCAGGUAACGCCUGGGCGAUGCAAGUCGACGGAAAGUGCCACAGAAAAGAUACCGCCCCGCCAGGGGUAAGGGUGAAAUGGUGCGGUAAGAGCGCACCGCGCUGCUGGCAACAGCAGUGGCAGGGUAAACCCCGUCUGGAGCAAGACCAAAUAGGGAUGCGAUAGUGUGGCCCGCACUGCAUCCGGGUAGGUUGCUUGAGGUGUGUGGUGACGCACAUCCUAGAUGUAUGGUUGCCUUCGACAGAACCCGGCUUACAGAUUGGCUGCUUUU